GAACGAGACCUUAACCUGCUAAAUAGCCCGUAUUGCUUUGGCAGUACGCUGGCUUCUUAGAGGGACUAUCGGCUCAAGCCGAUGGAAGUUUGAGGCAAUAACAGGUCUGUGAUGCCCUUAGAUGUUCUGGGCCGCACGCGCGCUACACUGACGGAGCCAGCGAGUACUUCCUUGUCCGAAAGGUCCGGGUAAUCUUGUGAAACUCU
RNAcentral lists this ribosomal RNA (206 nucleotides) under Nectria cinnabarina. RNAcentral's name for it is "partial small subunit ribosomal RNA". It matches the Rfam family "Eukaryotic small subunit ribosomal RNA", at positions 1333 to 1563 of the family's 1831-position model. The record is from RNAcentral. Lineage: Eukaryota; Fungi; Ascomycota; Sordariomycetes; Hypocreales; Nectriaceae.